This is an RNA transcript of Gopherus flavomarginatus (Mexican gopher tortoise), 2286 nucleotides long. It is a transcript of the gene named eukaryotic translation initiation factor 2B subunit gamma, with no coding region annotated. NCBI's taxonomy places the organism in Eukaryota, Metazoa, Chordata, Testudines, Testudinidae. The transcript has 13 exons. The record is from RefSeq and is a predicted model, not a curated record.
UCUCUCGGCGCUCGUUGGUAACCGCAGCGCAGGCGCAGUAGCUGCCGGUGCCGCCAUUGCUGUCCUGUCAGGGCGAGGAUCCCGGGAGGGAGAAGCCGGUAGAAGCGGCACCUGAGUUGCAGUUUGUAAAGAUGGAGUUUCAAGCAGUGGUGAUGGCGGCAGGUGGGGGAUCCCGAAUGAUGGACCUAACUUCCAGCAUCCCUAAGCCCCUCCUGCCAGUAGGCAACAAACCUUUAAUCUGGUACCCAUUAAAUUUGUUAGAGCGAAGCGGAUUUGAAGAGGUCAUUGUGGUUACAACCAAAGAAGUCCAGAAGCUACUAAACCUAGACACAAAGAUGAAAUUAGAUAUAGUGUGUAUCCCUGAUGAUGCAGACAUGGGUACUGCAGACUCACUAAGGCAUGUUCAUCAGAAAAUUAAGACUGAUGUCUUGGUACUAAGCUGUGAUCUGAUCACAGAUGUUGCUUUACAUGAGGUUGUGGAUUUGUUUCGAGCCCAUGAUGCCACACUCUCCAUGUUGAUGAAAAAAGCUCAUGAACCCACAGAAAUGGUACCAGGACAGAAAGGGAAAAAAAAGCCAGUGGAGCAGCGUGACUUCAUUGGAGUGGAUGACACAGGAAAGCGGUUGCUCUUCAUGGCUAAUGAAGCUGACUUGGAUGAAGAACUUGUCAUUAAGAGAUCCCUCCUUCAGAAGCAUCCUCGAAUGCACAUCAGGACAGGGCUGGCGGAUGCCCAUCUAUACUGCCUGAAGAAAUACGUGGUGGACUUCCUUGCAGAAAACAGGUCAUUAACAUCUAUUCGAAGUGAACUGAUUCCAUAUCUAGUUAGGAAACAGUUUUCCUCUCCUGCAUCAUUACGACAAGGACAGGACAACAAAGAGCAGGAUCAAAAGAAGGAUCAAAAGUCAUUAGACAUCUUCAGUUAUGUGAAGAGUGAUAGCUUGCUGGAAUUUGCUCCUGAUAAAUCAUGUUGGAAUAGUCACAGCGCAGAUCUGAAUGAAGCCUUCCACGGAGGAAAAGUACGUUGCUAUGUCCAUAUCAUGAAAGAGGGGCUCUGCUACCGAGUGAACACUCUUGGGUUAUACAUUGAAGCAAACAGACAGGUUCCUAAGCUGUUACCUGCUCUUGUGUGUCCAGAAGAACCAUUGGUUCACGUGUUCGCUCAAGUCACCGACAGAGGCCUGGUUGGAUCUGACAGCAUCAUUGGUUCAUCCACGCAGGUUGGAGAGAAGACAUCCAUUAAACACUCCAUCAUCGGCUCCACGUGCACCAUAAAAGACAGAGUUAAAAUAACUAACUGCAUCAUCAUGAACUCUGUCACAAUCGAGGAAGGGUGCAGCCUCCAGAGCUGCCUCAUCUGUCAUAACGCCGUGAUAGAGAAGGGAGCUGACCUCCGGGACUGUUUGAUUGGAAGCAGCCAGCGUCUGGAACCCAAAUCCAAACACGUUAACGAAGUCAUUGUGGGCAGCGAACAGCUGAUGGAAAUCUAACAUGCCGGUUGUAAAGAUGCCUUUAAGGAAGCCAGAGCCCGCACCUUCGGAAGACCCUUCGUCUGGAGCAGGCCUGGCAGAGCUUACCCUGUCAUCGCUCCUUUCCCGUGCAACUUGGUGUUUGCUGUGAGAUAAAAGUAGAUUGCAGAGCAAGAUUUCACAGCCCAAAUUAUCAAAGCGAAGAGUCCCUCUUGAAGUGACGUGUGUGGCAGUAAUGCCGAAGAGUGUUUCAGAAGAGUAGUUCCUUCACUACCCCCCAGGCAGCACCGGGAAUUAACCCUUGCUGACCUGCCGUGGACUUCGUGGACCAGAUGAAUCUACGAAACCAGCGAUCAGGGUGACAUUUUCAAAAGUGCCUCAGUGACUACGCGCCUUGAUGAGUUUUGAAAAUAGGACUUAGGCUCCUAAGUCACUGACGUGCUUUGGAAAGUAUUACCCCAGAGCUUCAUCGCAUGGCUCUCUGGGAGUGCGAAUGUGACUCUUCCAGACAGUGCACAGCCCCAUACAUGCAGCUCGUCUCACUGUUGAUCUCCCAUGCUGUAACAAUUGAGCAAGCUGGUGUCUCUUACCCUUUGCAAUGCGCCCAUCCCUGGGGUCUUGAGGCACCCUGACCGUGAUGGACAAAGCAGCGUACCUUUGAAAGGCUCAGACCUGCCAACCCUCUGUAGAUGCUGGCACUUUCGGAGCAGGCUUGUCCUUGAGCAUUUCCAAGGGGACACAGAGCUGGCGGUUGGUGUCACUGUUGUGAGAAGACUCAUGAAACAGGCAAGUCCUGCAGGACGCCCAGAAUGCAGCAAAG